CACACGUUGUUAAUGCUAAUCGUGAUAGGGGUUUUUAUCUCUGACUGACUCCUACAUGUUAGCAUUAAGAAUGUGUAGUG
This is a microRNA precursor of Anolis carolinensis (green anole), 80 nucleotides long. Ensembl annotates it as aca-mir-155. Its record names the gene aca-mir-155. Lineage: Eukaryota; Metazoa; Chordata; Lepidosauria; Squamata; Anolidae. The record is from Ensembl.